CGAUGCCGAUGCUCUACGCGGUUACUUUCUCUACACGGAAAACAAGAAGAUGAUCACGAGAUCUCAAAGCUUUUUAUGACUUUAUUUUUUCUUUAUUUUUUAGAUUUAUUGACUUCCAUGCAAAUGAAAAGCAAACUCAAUUUAGAUUCAUUGUAAAGUAAACUGACCAAAUUAAUAUAUAUUCUUGGUUUCCUUUUAUCAUGACCGUUCUAAU
RNAcentral lists this long non-coding RNA (214 nucleotides) under Capsella rubella. RNAcentral's name for it is "long non-coding RNA (CRUB_LNC002899)". The record is from RNAcentral. Lineage: Eukaryota; Viridiplantae; Streptophyta; Magnoliopsida; Brassicales; Brassicaceae.